CCCUUAGAUGUUCUGGGCCGCACGCGCGCUACACUGACGAAUGCAACGAGCUUAUAACCUUGGCCGAAAGGUCUGGGUAAUCUCCAAAUUUCGUCGUGAUGGGGAUAGAUUAUUGCAAUUAUUAAUCUUCAACGAGGAAUGCCUAGUAAGCGCAAGUCAACAGCUUGCGUUGAUUACGUCCCUGCCCUUUGUACACACCGCCCGUCGCUCCUACCGAUUGAAUGGUCCGGUGAAGCGUUCGGACCGUGGCCUUUGGACGGUUCGCCGUCUGUUGGCUGCGGGAAGUUCGUUAAACCUUAUCAUUUAGAGGAAGGAGAAGUCGUAACA
RNAcentral lists this ribosomal RNA (327 nucleotides) under uncultured eukaryote. Its description in RNAcentral is "partial 18S ribosomal RNA". It matches the Rfam family "Eukaryotic small subunit ribosomal RNA", at positions 1470 to 1796 of the family's 1831-position model. The record is from RNAcentral.